AUUGAACGCUGGCGGCAGGCCUAACACAUGCAAGUCGAGCGGAUGAAGGGAGCUUGCUCCUGGAUUCAGCGGCGGACGGGUGAGUAAUGCCUAGGAAUCUGCCUGGUAGUGGGGGAUAACGUCCGGAAACGGGCGCUAAUACCGCAUACGUCCUGAGGGAGAAAGUGGGGGAUCUUCGGACCUCACGCUAUCAGAUGAGCCUAGGUCGGAUUAGCUAGUUGGUGGGGUAAAGGCCUACCAAGGCGACGAUCCGUAACUGGUCUGAGAGGAUGAUCAGUCACACUGGAACUGAGACACGGUCCAGACUCCUACGGGGGGCAGCAGUGGGGAAUAUUGGACAAUGGGCGAAAGCCUGAUCCAACCAUGCCGCGUGUGUGAAGAAGGUCUUCGGAUUGUAAAGCACUUUAAGUUGGGAGGAAGGGCAGUAAGUUAAUACCUUGCUGUUUUGACGUUACCAACAGAAUAAGCACCGGCUAACUUCGUG
This 484-nucleotide ribosomal RNA is filed under the name uncultured bacterium. Its description in RNAcentral is "partial 16S ribosomal RNA". It matches the Rfam family "Bacterial small subunit ribosomal RNA", at positions 30 to 507 of the family's 1533-position model. The record is from RNAcentral.